RNAcentral lists this ribosomal RNA (614 nucleotides) under Salmonella enterica subsp. enterica serovar Infantis. RNAcentral describes it as "partial 23S ribosomal RNA". It matches the Rfam family "Bacterial large subunit ribosomal RNA", at positions 711 to 1241 of the family's 2925-position model. The record is from RNAcentral. Lineage: Bacteria; Pseudomonadati; Pseudomonadota; Gammaproteobacteria; Enterobacterales; Enterobacteriaceae. RNAcentral also lists the same sequence under 8 other names.
AGACCCGAAACCCGGUGAUCUAGCCAUGGGCAGGUUGAAGGUUGGGUAACACUAACUGGAGGACCGAACCGACUAAUGUUGAAAAAUUAGCGGAUGACCUGUGGCUGGGGGUGAAAGGCCAAUCAAACCGGGAGAUAGCUGGUUCUCCCCGAAAGCUAUUUAGGUAGCGCCUCGUGAAUUCAUCUCCGGGGGUAGAGCACUGUUUCGGCUAGGGGGCCAUCCCGGCUUACCAACCCGAUGCAAACUGCGAAUACCGGAGAAUGUUAUCACGGGAGACACACGGCGGGUGCUAACGUCCGUCGUGAAGAGGGAAACAACCCAGACCGCCAGCUAAGGUCCCAAAGUCAUGGUUAAGUGGGAAACGAUGUGGGAAGGCCCAGACAGCCAGGAUGUUGGCUUAGAAGCAGCCAUCAUUUAAAGAAAGCGUAAUAGCUCACUGGUCGAGUCGGCCUGCGCGGAAGAUGUAACGGGGCUAAACCAUGCACCGAAGCUGCGGCAGCGAACGUAUCACUUAAAGCGAUUCAGCGGGUUACGAUUGACGGAGCGAAGCGACGUCAAAGCGUAUACAAAGUCGAGUCGGUUUAAGGAUACGUUCGUUGGGUAGGGGAGCGUUC